UAUUGAUUGUGCCAUCUAUAAACUUAUCGUAUCAUUGCUAUUAUAGACGAUUGAAUUAUUCACUUGGUGUUUUUCGGUUGUACGAUUACAGUGUUUUGUUCAGAAUGCCUUGCUUUUAUUAUAGUCAGUAUGUGUAUGUGUGUACAGGUUAGAUAUUUGAUGAUUUCGGGAUACAUAUAAAAAUCAUUUUCAAAAAUUGAUUAUUCCGCGCAACAUGCUAGAAGUUGGGAGUCGUAUUUGUAUGUACUGGAUGAAAAUACGUUUAUCAUUUCCAUUAUUUGAAUUUAUUCAUUUUGUAGAUAUAUAAAUAACAAAAAUGUCUGUACACUAUAAAUUCAAAUCCACGUUGGACUAUGAUACAGUAUCCUUUGAUGGAUUACAUAUUUCUGUAGCGGAUUUGAAGAAGGCUAUUUUUCAUCAAAAACGUAUAGGAAAAAAUACUGAUUUUGAUCUGCAAAUAACAAAUGCACAAACUAAGGAAGAUUAUACAGAUGAUAAUGCAUUAAUUGCAAAAAAUACUAGUCUUAUUGUUGCUAGAGUUCCAUUAACAGUUCAGCAAAAACGAUCUUGGGACAGAAAUGAAGCUCCUUCUUUUAGUAAUUUAAAAGAUGAAUCCAAUUUAGGCAGAGCUGUAGAUCUUACAAGACUUGAUGGUUCUGAAGAAGAUAAGAUACGAGCAAUGAUGACUCAAUCUACACAAGAUUAUGAUCCCUCAAAUUAUAUGAAAAUACGUGGAGCCAAUCAAACUGGCGAUGUACCUGCAAAUUAUCGUUGUUAUAAAUGUCAUCAACCUGGACAUUGGAUUAAAAAUUGCCCACUUGGAACAAAUCAGGAACCUAUAGAAAUUAAAAAAAGUACAGGUAUUCCAAGAAGUUUUAUGGUUCCAGUUGAAGGACCAAGAGUUCCUGGUGCUAUGAUGACGCCAACGGGUCAAUAUGCUGUACCAGCUAUUGAUCAUCAAGCUUAUAAAGAAGGUAAAAAAGAACGUCCACCAUUUUCGCAAGAUCCAGAGCCUGCUAUUGAAAAACCAGAAAUUCCAGAGGAUUUGUUAUGUAAUAUUUGUAAAGAUCUUUUAACAGAUGCAGUAAUGAUACCAUGUUGUGGAAAUUCAUUUUGCGAUGAAUGUAUUCGGACAUUUUUAUUAGAAUCAGAAGAACAUGAAUGUCCAGAUUGUAAUGAGAAAGAUGUUUCACCAGAAACACUUAUUCCAAAUCGUUUUUUACGAAAUGCUGUAAUGAAUUUUAAGAAUGAGACUGGAUAUGCUAAAAGGCAAACAUAUAGACAAUCUUCACAAACAAACAGACAGUCUACAGUACAAUUAGAACAACAAAAAACUGAUCAAGCAACAAGUCAAAUAUCAAAUCAAAAUAAAUCUGUCCAGCCUUCAAAUGCAACUAAUGUGUCUUCACAGGAAUAUACAGAAUCACAAACGGCAAAUUUUGAUUCUAUUCAACAGCAAUUUCCAGCUAGAACUGUACAACCACAAACGACUCUUCCAGAAACAACAUCAGAAUCUGAUUUGCAAAGUGAUUCUGUAACAAAGUUAACAACAGACGAGGAAACUGAAGUUCCACCACCUCCAGGAACUGAACCAUUGCUUCCAAUACCUGCAAUUGGUAGUUCACCUGAAAGAGAUAGAGAAAGAAGUGAUCCUCCAAGUCGUGAGAAGAAAGAACGUGAAAAUGAAUAUCUAGGAGAAAGACAAUCAAGAGAACGUAGACGAAGUUUCAGUAGAGAUGGAUAUCGUGAUAGAAGUGGAGAACGUGGUCGCAGAAUAGAAAAUCUACGACCAGUAAAUAGAAGACGUUCUUUAUCUCCUAGACAUUCACAACAUAGUGACUAUAGUUCUCAAGGAGCACCAUUACAACAUUUAAUGAAUCCACCUCCAUCAAAAAAUUAUCAAGGAUUACCAUCUGAUGAUGGACAUUAUCCAUCCAAUAUACAUUAUGAUAAUGCCAUACGUAGAUCAACUGAAGAUCGUCCAGGCACUCCAACUGUUGAUGAACCACAUUUACAUGUGUCUUCUUCCGGUAAUCAACCACCUUUGUUACCUUUUCCACCAGGAGAAGAUCGUAUUCCUCAACCAAGCUAUAAUCAGCCUCCACCUAAUGUACCUCCACAUAAUCCACCUUUAUUACCAGAUCCAUAUAUGAAUCAUCGAAUACCUAUAUAUCCUCAUCAGCAAGGCUCUCAUUAUGGGCCUCCACGAUAUGAAAGACCUCCUUAUCAACAACAAGGAUAUAGACCAUCACAACCACCUCGAAAUUAUAAUGGACCACCAAGACCAAUUAGGGGAUUACAUCAUCUUAGUUAUAGAGGAUUGCAACCACCACCACCAGGAUUAAGUAGAAAUAUUCAUAAUGGUAAUCCACCUGGUAUAAUUGAUGAUCCAUUAGAAGCUUUCGAACGAAUGCUUAGAGAAAAAGAUGAACGAGAUAGAAGACUUGGAAAACAUAGAAGAAGAAGUAGAACACGAUCAAGAUCUCGCAGUUAUACUAGAUCUAGGUCACGUUCAUUUGGUCGCAGAUCGCCAUUUCCACCUCGUUUGAGUAGAUCUAGAAGUCCCCCUUCAAAACGAAGAUCUUCAAGAUCACCUUUACCUCUUAGAGCACGAAGUCGUACUCCAAAACGUAGAUCAAGAAGUGGGAGUUUCUCAAUUAGUAGAUCUAGAUCAUAUUCACGAAGCCAGUCUCCUAGAUUAUCUUUGUCACGUGAUAGAGAAAGAGAUAGAGAAAGAGAUCGUGAACGUGAUCGUGACCGUGAUCGUGACCGUGACCGUGAUCGUGACCGUGAUCGUGACCGUGAUCGUGAUCGAGAUCGUGAUCGAGAUCGUGAUCGAGAUCGUGAUCGAGAUCGUGAACGUGAUCGUGAACGUGAUCGUGAACGUGAUCGUGAACGUGAACGAGAUCGUGAACGAGAUCGUGAACGUGAUCGCGAACGUGAUCGCGAACGUGAACGUGAUAGAGAUAGAGACAGAGAAUUACUUCCUAGAUAUCGAUCACCGGCCAGAUCACCUCCAAGAUUUCAAAGAGAGAGGGAUCGUGAUAGAGAUCGGCCAAGAUCACGUGAACCUAGAGAAGGGUAUAAUAGUUAUUACAAUGAUUCACCAGCACAUGAUUAUCAAUUCAGAGAUCGAGAAAGAGAUUUACCUUCUCGAGAUAGACCAAUUCCGAGAUAUCCAGUAAGAAACCAAGCAGCUCAGCAUAAUAUACCACCUUUGCUGCCACAUCUAGUCACUGGAAGUCAUCCUCCACCUCUUAUGUCAUUGGGACCUCCACCUACGGACAGGAAAGACUAUUAUGAUUCCUACAACAGCAGGUAUCCUGGACCAUCUAGCCAACGUUUUGGUAGUCCUUUACGAGAUGUACCUCACAAAAGAUUUGAUGAUGUUGCACCUCCUGGAACAGAGGGCUACUAUGAUCUUUCACCACCAGGUAUAGAACUUUCUGAAAGAUCUUUACGUGAUGAUCGUGAUCGACGUUUAUUAAGAGAUCAAGAAGAUCGUGAGCAUUCUCUUAAAGAUCAUGAUACUGAAGAUCGAGAUAGAUUAUCUUUGAGAGAAGACAGAGGACGUGAACGAGAUGAUCGUUUACGUGAAAGAGAUGACAGGGAUAGAAGGAUUUUAAAUAGAGAUCGCGAAGAUCGUGAAAGACAAGGAAUACCUAGAGAUCACGAUGAUAGAAUACGAGAAAAAGAUGAUCGUGAUAGAAGAGAAAAAGAAAAAGAACGAGAUGAUAGACAUACUAGAGAUCGUCGAGAAGACGAUAGACAUUUAGACAAAAAAGAUUAUGAUAAAGAUCGUUAUAGAGAAGAAAGAGAUCGGCACAAACAAGACGAUAAAAAUCGUUCUCGUGAAAAAGAUAGACGUGAAAGAGAUUAUGAAUCUGAAAAAGAUAGAGAUCGACAUGAACGUUAUGAAAGACGUUCCAUGGAACGAAAGAAAAAUAGAAAAAGUCCGACACCUUAUUCACAAAAAUCUAGGAUAGAUAUGAAAGAUGUAUCACCUGAACGUACAAAGAAAAAAGAAAAAGAUCAUGAAGAAAAGAAUGAAGAAAAGAAAAAAGAGAAAAAAAUUAAAGAAAAGAAAAAGAAAAAAGAUGAUGAAAAAGAAAAGAAAAAGAAAAAGAAAAAAGAAAAGAAGUCAGGACAAAAAGAAAUUGCAAAAGACGAGUGUACUAAAUCAGUUGAACAUGAAGAAUUAAUAGUAGAAAAUAAACAAGAGAUCAUAUCACCUACAAAAACUGAUGUAAUAAAACCUGUUAAUGAAGAUGAAAAUAUUGAUAAUAGAAUAGUUUGUAUUUCUACUGAAAAUGCUAUUGAAGAAUCAAUUAAAGAAGAAUUUGAAGAUAAAUCUUUAGCCAUGAAUCCGGAGCCUCCAGAAUUUCAUGAAACCAGUCCAGAAAGAAUUGAUCAUACAGAAUUUGGAACAAAUCCUCCUAAUCCUAAUUUUAAGCCAAUUCCAGAAUUAAAAUCUGAAAUCAAACCUAUUGAUAGUCUUUAUAGUGGAUUAGAUGAUGCAGAAAUAAAUACUGUAAUAACAGAAAAAUAUUCUUUACUUUCAGAAAAUGAAGCAGAAGAUAAAAGUACUUUAUUAGAAGAAAAAUCUCCAAAAAAAGAUGAAUUUUUAGCUCCAAUGCCUGAACUUUCUAAAUGGGAAAGAGAUGAAACUACAGAAAAAACAGAUGAUGUAUGCGAAUCUCCUAUAGAAAAAAUACAAAUAGAUGAACCUAAAUCUACAAAAGUAGUUACAUCAGAAGUAUUAAAAAGAGCAGAAAAUGCUAUUUUUCAAAAGGCCAUUAAUGCUAUUAGACCUAUUGAAAUUAAAAAGAUAAGUGAAAGUAGAAAAAUACUAUAUCAGAAUCCAGAGCCUAAAGUACUUGAAGUUGAACCCAAUAGAGAACCAAGAAAAAGCGUAAACGUUACUAUAAAUGUAGGAAGAAAUGAAAGAAAUGUUGAAAUUACAGAACCAGUGAAAAAAGCUAAAUUAGAUCGGACAAAAUUCAAACCUGUACCAGAAACUUAUUCACCUACAAGACUUUCUGCCAAAGAAAGACUAGGUGAAAAAGUGGAUGAAAACAAAGAAAGAAAAAUUAGUCCUAUAAAAAGCUUUUUAGAUAGACGCGAAACAAAGAGUGAAAAUCAAUCUAGAAGUCGAUCCCCUAGAAAUACGAGAGAUAAAAGAAUUUCUCCUUUAUUAGAUAGACGAGUUGAUUCAUCAUUGUCUAUACCAGGAAGCGAACGUAAAGUAUUUCUUGAUGAUAGAAAACGAGAUAAUAAAGAUCGAGGUGAUCGUUCAAAAGAAAGAAAUGAUUUUAGAAAUGAAAGACAUGAUAUAAGAUCCGAAAGAGAUCUAAGAAUUGAUUCUAGAGGAGAUUUUAGAUCAACCCGUAACGAUUCUAAAGGGGAAAGAAUAGAUAAAGAUAGAGAAAAAGAUAGAGAUAAAGAAAGAAGAGGAAGAACACCAUCUUGUACAUUUAAAAGAAAUGAUAUUCCAAAGAUAGGUCUUUUGAAGAAUAGAGAAGAAGAAGAUGAUAGGCGUAGAGAUAAAAAAACUAAAGAAGAUAAAAAAAGAAAAAAAGAGCAUCGAAGUAGAAGUAAAUCUAAAGAACAUAAAAAACGAAAAGAAAAAAAACAUAAAAAAGAUAAAGAUAAAAAUUUAGAGAAAAAACAAAAGCACAAAGAAAAUAUUGUUUUAAAAGACAAACCUGAAGGUAAUGAAACUAAAAUAAAUUAUGAAAAUCCUGAACCUCCUGUUACGGAACCUAUAAAAAAACAAAGGAAGAAUCCAAGACUUGUAUCUGAUCGUAAACGUAGUAUGCUUGAUGAAGCUAGCUUUGAACCUGAUUAUAGUGCUUCAGAUUCAGAAUCAGAUGGUGAAGAUGGCAAAGUAAUUUCAUUACCUGCUAAGAAACUUAAACUUGAUGAACCAGAUAUGGAAAAAGAAAUGGACAUUAAAUCUCUUAAAAAACGAUCAAAAUCUACAAGUAGUGAAGAUUCAUCUAGUAGCUCAGAUACUUCAACUUCUGAUUCUGAUAGUUCUGAUGAAUCACAUAAGAAAAAGAAGAAAAAACAUAAAAAACAUAAGAAAAAAAAAUCUAUAAAAAAAGAUAGUAGUUCUGAUUCAGAUUCAUAUUCAGAUUCAUCAGAAACAAGUACUGAUGAAGAAAAGCAUAAAAAGAAGUCAAAAAAAUCAAAAAGUAGGAACAAACAAACAAAAAAAAAGAAAAAAUCAAAGCACAAAUGACAUCAUUAGAUGUCUUUAAUAUUUUAAAUUCUGACAGUAAUUUUUCUUUAUGAAUGCUUUUUAAUGUAAGAUUCUCUGCCAGAAUUAUUUACAAUUAUAUACAUAAAAUUGAAAUUGUUAUCUGAUAUCUAAGAAAUGAUGUAGAUGUUUUAUUCUAUAUUUACAAUAUUAUUCAGUGUUCAAAAUUAAUUUGAACAUAUUAAAUUUGAACUAAUUCAUUACUUAUUAUUAAUAGUUAAUAAUUUUUGAUUGAAAAAUUUAAUAAAAUAAGGAAUGGGUAAUUAAGUAUGACAUUUAACUUGUAUUUAAUUUUGAAAAUUAUUAAGGCCUUUACAUGAUUGUCUAUAUUCUAAUUACACCUCUCAAAUGCUGUAAGUAAAUUCAUUACAAUAACUGAUGUACAUUAUAGCAUUCAGUAGAUAAUAUCUUUAAGGAAUUCAAUACAAUACUUUUAGAGAACAGCAAUUAUAUUUAAGAUCUCCAAUAUCUCAGCAUUAUAUUGUACUUUCAUAAUCUAAUGUCAAUAUGUAAAAGACGUCAUGAAAUAAAAAGACGAAAUUCUUUUAAUUCA
Molecule: RNA transcript, 6815 nt
Organism: Apis mellifera (honey bee)
Lineage: Eukaryota; Metazoa; Arthropoda; Insecta; Hymenoptera; Apidae
Gene: snama
Gene name: E3 ubiquitin-protein ligase RBBP6
Exons: 16
Source: RefSeq, marked validated